RNAcentral lists this ribosomal RNA (365 nucleotides) under uncultured eukaryote. RNAcentral describes it as "partial 18S ribosomal RNA". It matches the Rfam family "Eukaryotic small subunit ribosomal RNA", at positions 592 to 975 of the family's 1831-position model. The record is from RNAcentral.
CAAUAGCGUAUAUUAACGUUGUUGCAGUUAAAAAGCUCGUAGUUGGAUUUCUGGAGGGAGCGUCGGCCCGUAUUUACGAGUGCGUGACGUCUCUGUCCAUCCUUGCGGGAAGGCACGGCAUUGAUUUGUUGUGUCGGAUCGCAUCAUUUACUGUGAAAAAAUUAGAGUGUUCAAAGCAGGCUUUCGCUUGAAUACAUUAGCAUGGAAUAAUAAGAUAGGACUUUGGUGCUAUUUUGUUGGUUGAGCCUAAAGUAAUGAUUAAUAGGGAUAGUUGGGGGCACCUGUAUUGCGUUGUCAGAGGUCAAAUUCUUGGAUUUACGCAAGACAAACAGCUGCGAANGNGUCUGCNAAGGAUGUUUNCAUUA